This 433-nucleotide ribosomal RNA is filed under the name uncultured bacterium. Its description in RNAcentral is "partial 16S ribosomal RNA". It matches the Rfam family "Bacterial small subunit ribosomal RNA", at positions 29 to 507 of the family's 1533-position model. The record is from RNAcentral.
AACGGACGCUGGCGGCAUGCCUAACACAUGCAAGUCGAACGAGACCUUCGGGUCUAGUGGCGCACGGGUGCGUAACGCGUGGGAACCUGCCCUUAGGUUCGGAAUAACUCCCCGAAAGGGGUGCUAAUACCGGAUAAUGUCUUCGGACCAAAGAUUUAUCGCCUUUGGAUGGGCCCGCGUUGGAUUAGCUAGUUGGUAGGGUAAAAGCCUACCAAGGCGCCGAACCAUACCUGGUCUGAUAGGAUGAUCAGCCACACUGGGACUGAGACACGGCCCAGACUUCUACGGCAGGCAGGCGGGGGGAAUUUUGGACAAUCGGCGUAAGGCUGAGCCAGCAAUGCCGGGUGAGUGGUGAAGGCCUUAGGGUUGUAAAGCCCUUUUACCCGGGAUGAUAAUGACAGUACCGGGAGAAUAAGCCCCGGCUAACUACGUG